GUAGGGAAUUUUCGUCAAUGGGCGCAAGCCUGAACGAGCAAUGCCGCGUGAGUGAAGAAGCUCUUCGGAGUGUAAAGCUCUGUUGCAGGGGAAAAAGGAGAAGAAGAGUGGAAAGUUUCUUCUUUGAUGGUACCCUGCCAGAAAGUCACGGCUAACUACGUGCCAGCAGCCGCGGUAAUACGUAGGUGGCGAGCGUUAUCCGGAAUGAUUGGGCGUAAAGGGUGCGCAGGCGGCCUGUCAAGUCUGAAGUGAAAUAGACAAGCUCAACGGGGAGAGGAGGGGGAAAAGGGAAGGAGGGAGGAAAGAAGAGGGAGGGGGAAAGAAAGGGGGAGAGGGAAAAGGAGGAGAGAGAUGGAAGAACACCAGGGGCGAAGGCGGCCGCCUGGACGGGGACUGACGCGCAGGCACGAAAGCGGGGGGAGCAAAGAGGA
This 431-nucleotide ribosomal RNA is filed under the name uncultured bacterium. RNAcentral describes it as "bacterial SSU rRNA". It matches the Rfam family "Bacterial small subunit ribosomal RNA", at positions 354 to 777 of the family's 1533-position model. The record is from RNAcentral.